UUCCUACGGGAGGCUGCAGUGGGGAAUUUUGCGCAAUGGGCGAAAGCCUGACGCAGCAACGCCGCGUGGGUGAUGAAGGUCUUCGGAUCGUAAAACCCUGUCGUCAGGGACGAAGGUUGUGUUCCUAAUACGGAUGCAACUUGACGGUACCUGGAGAGGAAGCCCCGGCUAACUCUGUGCCAGCAGCCGCGGUAAUACAGAGGGGGCAAGCGUUAUUCGGAAUUAUUGGGCGUAAAGGGCGCGUAGGCGGGGGUUUAAGUGAGAUGUGUAAUCCCCGGGCUUAACCUGGGAACUGCAUCUCAGACUGGAUCGCUAGAGUGCUGGAGAGGGUGGUGGAAUUCCACGUGUAGCGGUGAAAUGCGUAGAGAUGUGGAGGAACACCAGUGGCGAAGGCGGCCACCUGGACAGUAACUGACGCUGAGGCGCGAAAGUGUGGGGAGCAAACAGGAUUAGAUACCCCAGUAGUCGC
This 469-nucleotide ribosomal RNA is filed under the name uncultured Holophagaceae bacterium. RNAcentral describes it as "bacterial SSU rRNA". It matches the Rfam family "Bacterial small subunit ribosomal RNA", at positions 336 to 797 of the family's 1533-position model. The record is from RNAcentral. Lineage: Bacteria; Pseudomonadati; Acidobacteriota; Holophagae; Holophagales; Holophagaceae.